AUACGUAGGUGGCAAGCGUUGUCCGGAUUUACUGGGCGUAAAGGGUGCGUAGGUGGAUAUUUAAGUGAGAUGUGAAAUCCCCGAGCUUAACUUGGGGCCUGCAUUUCAAACUGGAUAUCUAGAGUGCAGGAGAGGAGAAUGGAAUUCCUAGUGUAGCGGUGAAAUGCGUAGAGAUUAGGAAGAAUACCAGUGGCGAAGGCGGCUUUCUGGACUGUAACUGACGCUGAGGCAUGAAAGCGUGGGGAGC
Molecule: ribosomal RNA, 247 nt
Filed under: uncultured bacterium
Lineage: Bacteria
Description: partial 16S ribosomal RNA
Rfam family: Bacterial small subunit ribosomal RNA
Source: RNAcentral